RNAcentral lists this small RNA (3575 nucleotides) under Pan troglodytes (chimpanzee). RNAcentral's name for it is "retained intron". Lineage: Eukaryota; Metazoa; Chordata; Mammalia; Primates; Hominidae. The record is from RNAcentral.
AGACUCUGUCUCAAAAAAAAAAAAAAGAAAAUGAGCAAGAGACAUGAAGAGACCUCCAGCACAUCGACAUCUGAUGGCCGGGAAGCACAGGCCGAGACACCCAGCAUCACCGAAUGCUGGCGCGGAGGAGGCCGGAGCGCGGAGGAGGCCCGAACGCGGAGGAGGCUGGAGCGCGUGCCUCACGCCUUCCCCGGGGGGACGAGCCGCGUGCCUCGCGCCUUGCCCGGGGGGACGAGCCGGGGACGAGCCGCGUGCCUCGCGCCUUGCCCGGGGGGACGAGCCGCGUGUCUCGCGCAUUGCCCGGGUGGCGAGCUGUGUCUUAUGCAUUGCCAGGGUUGAGCCGUGUCUCUCAGGCAUUCCCGGGGAGUGACAAGUGGCAGGGCCGCUCUGGAGAACAGGUGGUCGGUUUUCUACGAAGCUAAACACACAGCUACUGAGCUACCGUGGGACAUUUAUCCCAGAGAAAUGGAAACUCUCAUUCACACACAAGUCUGUAACAGGCGUUCAGAGACGUGUCUGUUGUAGCCAAACAGUGGCAUCAACCCAGGUGUCCUACAGGUGAACGGUUCAAUACGUGGUCCGCACACCACGAGAUGGCCCUCGGCAGGGAGGGGGAGUGGCGGAUACCCCGAGCCCGAGUGAAGAGCGCCAGUCCAGAGGCUGCAGCUGUUGGUCCCCUUCUAGAACAUAACUAAGAUGACAGUCUGGGCAUGGUGGCUCACACCUACCAUCCCAGCCCUGUGGGAGGUGAGGCCAGCGGGUCUCUUAAGCCUAGGAGUUUGAGACCAGCCAUAGUGAGACCCCGUCUCCCAAAAAAAAAAAAAAGAUGACAGAACUGUAGUGAAGCAUUCAGGUCGUGAUUGCUGUGGUGCUGAGAGGAAUCCGUGGUGCGGUCAGUGGCGCGGCCCCGCACUCACACACACGAGUCCAGCUGGCCACGUCUGGUGCAUCUGUAGGUGGCGCGGCUGCCUGGGCUCAGUGCUUCUCUGAGGUUGUGAGAGACGCCCUCCCUGGGGGAUGCUGGGCGCAGGUGCUCAGGGUAUUUACAGCUUCCUGCUAUUCUGAUUAUUCCAAAAUAAAAAGUUAAAGGAUCGGGCCAGGCACGGUGGCUCACGCCUGUAAUCCCAGCACUUUGGGAGGCCGAGGUUGGCAGAUCACGAGGUCAGGAGAUGGAGACCAUCCUGGCUAACAUGGUGAAAUCCCACCUCUACUAAAAAAUACAAAAAAAAUUAACUGUGCGUGGUGGUGGGCGCCUGUAGUCCCAGCUACUUGGGAGGCUGAGGCAGGAGAAUGGUGGGAAUCCGGGAGGUGGAGCUUGAAGUGAGCUGAGAUCACACCACUGCACUCCAGCCUGGGUGACAGAGCGAGACUCCGUCUCAAAAAAAAAAAAGUUACGGGAUCAGCCCUGAUUUGAUGUGCUGCGAGAGGCAGUGGCCACGUGACAGAUGCUGGUGGCCCUCUAGGACACUACAGACGUGGGGACACUGCCUCAACCCUCGUGGACAAGCCCCGGGUCUGCCUUGGCUCCUGGGGGUGACGUGGGGACACUGCCUCAACCCCCGUGGACAAGCCCUGGGUCUGCCUUGGCUCCUGGGGGUGGGGUGCUGCCUCCACAGCUGCCCCGUCCUGUUGUCUGCCCUCCAUCCAGAGUGUUCCCGUCGCCCCAGCACCUGGCCUGUGCUCCAGCCCCUGGAGACCUUCACACGUGUGGGUGGAGCCGGCACCUCUGGACGGCCUCAAGUGAUCGGUGUUCUAUUUUGCAAGCGCAUGUUUUCCAAUAUACGUGGUGCUCUGCGUUAUAGAAACAGUAGUUGCCCCUCAUGGACAACCAGAUGCCGAGUUUCCGAUCUCCGUCUCCACAGGCUCACCAGCUGGAUUCCCUCCUGGGGGCUUCAUUCCCAAAACGGCCACCACGCCCAAAGGCAGCAGCUCCUGGCAGACAAGUCGGCCGCCAGCCCAGGGCGCCUCAUGGCCCCCUCAGGCCAAGCCGCCCCCCAAAGCCUGCACACAGCCAAGGCCUAACUAUGCCUCGAACUUCAGUGUGAUCGGGGCGCGAGAGGAGCGGGGUGUCCGCGCACCCAGCUUUGGUGAGUCCCCCACUCUCUGUUGCUGUGGAGUUUGCAGAGACCUCCCUGAAUUGGCUAAAGGUAGAACCUAUGUUGUUUUCUUCAUCUCAGAGCCCAGUCCUGGGACAGGCACGGCCAAGCCACUCAGAGAACGACGCGGUUUCCGACGUGUGUCCACUGGUCUCUCUCUGGGUCAGGCCUCUGGGUCCCUCUUGUUCCAGUGACACCUUCUUGACCUGUUUUUAACAAAUGGCCUUUGCAACCCUGUCUUGUCUUCCCUCUUCUUUACUCUGGAGGCAUCAGGAUGGUAGCCCUGUUCCCGGGAGCAGCAGGUGGAAUUGGGCCUGUGUGUCUCUGCAGAAAGUUUCUGUUCUUAACUGGGCUUUGUGGCUCACGCCUGUAAUCCCAGCACUUUGGGAGGCUGAGGCGGACAGAUCGCUGGAGCCCAGGAGUUCAAGACCAGCCUGGGCAACAGUGAUACCUCCUCUCUACAAAAAAUGUAAAAAUUAGCCAGGCAUGGUGGCGCAUGCCUGUGGUCCCAGCUACUUGGGAGGCUGAGGCAAGAGGAUUGCUUGAGGCCGGGAGGCAAAGGCCGCAGAGAGCUGAGAUCACGCCAUUGCACUCUGGCCUGGGUGACAGAGUGGAGACCCUGUCUCAAACAAAAAAAAGUUUCUGUUCUUUUCUAGCUCAAAAGCCAAAAGUCUCUGAGAACGACUUUGAAGAUCUGUUGUCCAAUCAAGGCUUCUCCUCCAGGUCUGACAAGAAAGGGCCAAAGACCAUUGCAGAGAUGAGGAAGCAGGACCUGGCUAAAGACACGGACCCACUCAAGCUGAAGCUCCUGGACUGGAUUGACGGCAAGGAGCGGAACAUCCGGGCCCUGCUGUCCACGCUGCACACAGUGCUGUGGGACGGGGAGAGCCGCUGGACGCCCGUGGGCAUGGCCGACCUGGUGGCUCCGGAGCAGGUGAAGAAGCACUAUCGCCGCGCGGUGCUGGCCGUGCACCCCGACAAGGCCGCAGGGCAGCCAUACGAGCAGCACGCCAAGAUGAUCUUCAUGGAGCUGAAUGACGCCUGGUCGGAGUUUGAGAACCAGGGCUCCCGGCCCCUCUUCUGAGGCCGCAGUGGUGGUGGCUGCGCACACAGCUCCACAGGUUGGGAGCCGUCAUGGGACUUGGGUCCCCACCGUGAGGACCCCGUGGGCGACAGCAGGUGUGGCCAGGGUGGGGCUCCGAGCCCCGGGUCACCGCCCGCCCAGCAUUCCAGGCACAUGAAGAGAAAGCAUUCCAAAGCCUCUGAUUGUUGUUUCCUUUUUCUCCUCCCGAAGGAACAGCUGAUUCAUGCUCCUCCCACAAUUGUCACGUCUGUGAUUUAUUUGGUGUUUCGGGCGUGGUCUCUGGAGCCCCGGCACGUGGUGGGCCACGCUGCUGGCGCUCAUGGGCCCUGGUGUUUGCACCGCACUUUGUAAUCAGUCCCGUGGUUGUCUGUACAGAAUUAAACUAUUUUCCGAUG